RNAcentral lists this microRNA precursor (81 nucleotides) under Bombyx mori (domestic silkworm). Its description in RNAcentral is "mir-2807 microRNA precursor family". It matches the Rfam family "mir-2807 microRNA precursor family". Lineage: Eukaryota; Metazoa; Arthropoda; Insecta; Lepidoptera; Bombycidae. The record is from Rfam by way of RNAcentral.
UUAACACAAAGUAUGGAAUUGGAUCGUUUGCUUACGUUUACCACUAGGGGCGCUGUUCCAACUGCAUAUAAAUUUGAGUUA